RNAcentral lists this ribosomal RNA (256 nucleotides) under uncultured bacterium. Its description in RNAcentral is "partial 16S ribosomal RNA". It matches the Rfam family "Bacterial small subunit ribosomal RNA", at positions 524 to 776 of the family's 1533-position model. The record is from RNAcentral.
UACGUAGGUGGCAAGCGUUGUCCGGAUUUACUGGGCGUAAAGGAUGCGUAGGCGGACAUUUUAAGUCAGAUGUGAAAUACCCCGAGCUUAACUUGGGUGCUGCAUUUGAAACUGGGUGUCUAGAGUGCAGGAGAGGUAAGUGGAAUUCCUAGUGUAGCGGUGAAAAUGCGUAGAGAUUAGGAAGAACACCAGUGGCGAAGGCGACUUACUGGACUGUAACUGACGCUGAGGCAUGAAAGCGUGGGGAGCAAACAGG